AAAAUAAAAACCAACUCCAUUCAACACCUGCGUUCCAAAACUCAAAAUCAGGUGUGUUUCCAUUCAUAGUCUUCUCCGGUGCUUGGUUCUACAGAAUAUCUGCAAUUGUUUUCUCGCGCGUGAGGAAAAUCAGGCUCCAAAGCCAAAUGAAAAACCCGAAACCUCGCCAUCGCAGCGCAAUCGAAGAUCUCUUCACAUCUCUCAGCAGGCAUAUCGAGCGACCUGAAAACGAACAAGCUGUUAAGGGCUUCGAUCAAGGCAUACUGCCUAUACCAUCGAAACAAGUUAGAUGACGCAUUCGCGUGUCUGAAAAAACAAGACAAGGAUUCUGCAAGUUCCCUGUUAGAGGCACAGAAUCUUCAAAAGUCAAAGAUCGAGACCUUGGAAAUCAAUAUCAUUGCAAGCCUGGUCUCGGCUGUGAGAUCUUCUGAUGUGCAAGGAGUGAGUUGGAAUCUCUGAGGGUCAUCAAGGCAACUCCAGCAGCUUUGAGUUGGCUUAUAAUACUGCUUGUUCGUUUAUUGAAAUCCUUUAGUAUGGAGAUGCAUGCAGAACAACCUCAUUGCUUUGAAAGCACCAAAAGACGUUUCUGGCAAUCAGAAACUCAACCAGCUUAAAGAAAACGACUCCCAGACCUUUCAGCUUUCUCAUGCACUCAGAUGUAAAGCUUUCCCAUAUAUGACGAUGGGGUCCUUUUCUUCUUCUUCUUCUUCUUCAAGCAAAUAAGAUGGAUCAGGUCCUUCCACCUUGAAAUAUAACUAUCCCUUCUACUCUUUGCCCCUCUUCUUCCAGUUAAACGAUUAAACUUUUUUUCCUCAGGCUCAAGAAAUUUCUUGAGAGAUCUAAGUCAGUUCUCUGGGCUAGGGCUCAGAUUGCUGCUUCCGCCAACCAUCCUCUUGUUGCAGCAGAGUCUCUGUCCACGAUACUGGAUAUCCACCACAUUCCCGUUACUGUUGCCACCAUUGUUACCCUCAAAGAGCAUGCUGGUGACACUAACGGUGCUGUUUCAGUGCUUGACUCGGCGAUUAAUUGGUGGUCAAAUGCCAUGACCGAGGACAAUAAACUCGGCGAUUAACUUCUGUUUGCCCGUUUGGGACAGAAUAACGUUUUUCGGAAAGUGAUCCAUACUUUUAGAAGAGUUAUCCGGUUCUCUAUUUGUUUAUAUCCUGCUCUAUACCCAAAUUUUUGUUCUAACAAGAGAUUAUGAUUACAGGAUACUAUUAAAUAAGAUUCAGUUCCAUGA
This is a long non-coding RNA of Tarenaya hassleriana, 1240 nucleotides long. RefSeq lists it as uncharacterized. The transcript is spliced from 2 exons. NCBI's taxonomy places the organism in Eukaryota, Viridiplantae, Streptophyta, Magnoliopsida, Brassicales, Cleomaceae. The record is from RefSeq and is a predicted model, not a curated record.